UCGCGGUUUGCACCGGCAGUCUGAUUAGAGUCCCCAUCUUUACAUGCUGGUAACUAACCACAGGGGUUGCGCUCGUUAUAGGACUUAACCUGACACCUCACGGCACGAGCUGACGACAACCAUGCAGCACCUUGCACCCUGCCCGAGGGAGGGCUGGUUUCCCAGCCUGUCAGGGUGCAUUUAAGCCCAGGUAAGGUUCCUCGCGUAUCAUCGAAUUAAACCACAUGCUCCACCGCUUGUGCGGGCCCCGUCAAUUCCUUUGAGUUUCAACCUUGCGAUCGUACCCCCCAGGUGGAUUACUUAUCACUUUCGCUUAGGCACUGACCGUAUAUCGCCAGCACCGAGUAAUCAUAGUUUACGGCGUGGACUAC
This 371-nucleotide unclassified non-coding RNA is filed under the name uncultured Flavobacteriales bacterium. RNAcentral's name for it is "contains 16S-23S intergenic spacer region". Lineage: Bacteria; Pseudomonadati; Bacteroidota; Flavobacteriia; Flavobacteriales. The record is from RNAcentral.